UCAGAAUACGGAACAAACCAGAAACCGUCAACGGGCGUAAAUGUGUAUUCAUAUAAAGUACUCCAAAUCGCACUACUUUGACUUUAAAGCAAUCAGUCAAUGGCCGGCGCGCGCAUUGUUUACAUAUCCGUCAGAUUGACACUUUAUAAUUAAAUUAUGCCGUCUUGUGCCGUUCCAACAUGUAAGAAUGCUACUGGAAUUACGAAGAAAGUGCAUGGGAUCAUGUUUUAUCCGUAAGUAGCACAUUUCCAAUUCAUUUUAAUUAAAUAAUAAUUUUCAAAAAAAAUCACGGUUGUAUUUUGUAAGUGUUGCCACAGGUCAACGGAAUAUUUUACCCUACUUUUUUAUAUUGAAUUACAUUUGUCUACUUAUAAAAAAUUCACGCGUUAAUUUUGUUAGCGUUACCACAGAAUAAUGGAAUAUUUUCCCCAUCCUUUUUGUUUUAAUUAGUUUUUAGUGUAAUUUCAUCCAUGACAUGACAACCUGAUUAAUUAAAUUAUAAGUGCCACUUGUGGUCUAAACUGAAUAAAUAUUUUUGAUUUUGAUUUGAUUUCAAUAUAUUGAAUUAAUUUAUAAUAUUACUCCCUAAUAAUGAGGAGAUAAUAAAUUACUAUCGUGAAUUUCAUACUUUCCCAUUUAUUCAAAAGUAAGGCAUUGGUAUCAACAGAUCAGCAGCAGCAAUAUUUGUAUAUUUAAUAAUAAUUUUAAGUAAUUAAUUAUUGCUUACAUACUUACUCUGAUUUUUUUUCAGGAUACACAGCCAGAGUUGCCUCGCAAUCAAAUUUAAGUAUUGGUGAUGUUUUUGAUUUGGAUUCUGUUUUUCACUCCAAGAAAAGUUAAACUAAAAGCACUACUGCGCCGUAAACAAAUGUUUUGUUGUCGAUAUGUUUACAUAAUAAAGAACCUUAAGUUUCUUUUUUGUUUUACUUGGCAUUCUAAAAUUUAUAUUCGACUUUUGUAAUUGACUUUUAAAUAACAUAUUAUACCUACAUAAAAUAUAGUACAUAUAUUACACUAUUUAAUAGAAAUAAAUAAUCAUCUUACACUUAGUUACUUCGGAGUAAAAAUUAAAUUCAUAGGUAGGUAGGUACUAUCUAUGCCUAUGGCCAGUCAUGUCGUCUCGUUCUAUCGCAAAGAAUCACCAUUUGAUAAGAGCGAGAGCAAAAACGGAAAUGGAUAGUUAACACUGGCCGUGUGUACUUAUUUCACUUACUUAUUUUUUACUUGUUUAACAUCUCUUUAAAAAAUUACAUAAUUUUACCCCAAAAAUGGGGGUGUCACACGGCGCUAGUAACACUAAAGGGGGUAGAGGGGCGCGGGAGGGGAAGUAUUUUGGACACAAGUUGCCGCGUAGAAAUGUUAUCGAACACUCCUUCUGGUUUGUUCUGUAUUCUGAGCGCAUAACAUAAUACCAAUAAACCAGAUAUCAACCGUC
This is a long non-coding RNA of Ostrinia nubilalis (European corn borer), 1435 nucleotides long. RefSeq lists it as uncharacterized. Lineage: Eukaryota; Metazoa; Arthropoda; Insecta; Lepidoptera; Crambidae. The transcript is spliced from 2 exons. The record is from RefSeq and is a predicted model, not a curated record.